UUGGUCCUGUCACUGGCACCACUGAAAAGAGCCUGGCUUUGUCCUCUUUUCACCCUCCCUUCAGGUAUUUGUAUACGUUGACAAGUUCCCGCCCUAAGCCUUCUCUUCUCCAGGCUGAACAGUCCCAGCUCUGCCAGCCUUUCCUCAUAUGUGAGGUUCUCCAGUCCCUUCAUAAUAUUUGUGGCCCUUUGCUGGGCUCCUUCCAGUAUGUCCAUGUCUCUCUUGUACUUGGGAGCCUAGCGCUGGGCACAGCACACCAGGUGUGGCCUCCCCAGUGCCGAAUAAAGGGGAAGGAUCACCUCCCUUGACCUGCUGGCAAUACUUUACCUUAUGCAUCCCAGGAAAUCAUUACCCUUCUUUGUGGCAAGGGCCCGUUGCUACCUUAUGUAAGCUUUGACUGCUUUCACUUUUAUUAGGAAGCAUGGACGUCAUCAGAUUUGCAGAAAUUGGGAAACACUAAAUAUAAGCACACUGGGGAGAUCUUCCAGAAAAUUCCGUACAGAUUGAACUUUAAAAUGGGAGCUUCUAAGCCUAAAAGGACAAUGAAUCCUGAAUGAUACAGGACAAAGCUUAAUGAUUCAGGAAUGGACCACAUAGAGCUCUAAGGCACUGGAUGUGAGUGGAGCUGGAGUGACUUGGAUAUGAGGUGCCAGUUGGUACUUGGCUGCGUUGCAGCUAUGAAAAAGUGAGAAGUGCAAGAAAACUUGAGGGUACAUCCAAGGAGGAAGGAGCACAGAUGCACUUCAUAAGGAGGAAGAAGCACAGACACACUCUCAAGAAUUGCGUGUUGCUUUCUACAGCGCAAGAAGAGUAGAACUGAGGAAGAGGAGAAUGAAGUUUGAGGAAAUAUCAUCAGGAGGAGGAAUUGGGGGAAUCCCUAGCCUGGGGAUGGUUGGCAGGAAUAUAAGAGAGAGAGAGAGAAAAGAUCUGGGACAAAGGAAGCAGAAGCUUUAAGAGAAUCAAAGACCAAAUCAAGCAAGAAAAGUGAGGAGAUGGCAAAUGAAACUUUACUAGCUGUACAAGAAGACAAGUGCUUUCCAUUGUAAGAGAAUGGUGGCUGCUCUCAUUUGUAACCAUGAAAUAGGUUCAACAGCAGAAACUGACUGUUUUGGACAGGAUUUACUUUUGAAAAGUCUGAAGCCACAUUUCACUGCGAAAGAGGGGAAUGGACAUGGGUAAGUAACAUGUUCUUAUUUGCAGAUAUUAUGGCUUUGAAACUAUCCAUUUUGUGUCACUGGAAGCAUAAUAAUUUCAUAGCAAGAACAUCCGUAACACAAUCAGCUUACCUUGAACUUUUCUUUUUUUUUAAAGUUAGUAUCUGUAGUGAAUAGUAUCGCUGUUUUAUAGCUGGGGAAACUGGCAAGAUAGGUGCCAUGACUUGACACUGUAAGUAAUGUGAUAUUCUAAGUCCCAUCCCAGUACAUUACUGUCAGCCCUUUUGUCCUAUUUAAUCAUGUCUUUUACGAUAAAAAUACUGGAAUAAUGUUUCCCUUUGGAAAUGUUUUGAGCAAAUAACCUCAUAAUAAAUGAUACUGCAGUAAUUUAUCCUUUGCGUUUAGCAGAAUAAUCAUUGGCAUGACUCGGUGGCUACACAAGGAAAGAACAGGUCACCGGUACCAAAUAUCCCACAAUUUUUAAACUACUGCUGCUGGUAUUAACAAUAACAACAUUGACUAUGGCAAAUGAUUCUGCAAAUGAUUCUGUCUUUUUUCUUUCCAUUGAAUUUAAAAUAUUCAGUAGCACUCUGAGAAGCCGUGAAAUCUGCAGGGCUUUUUAACCUGAAAUUCAUGCUUUGCAUAUGAAAUCUGGUUUCGAAGCCUCAUGUAUUCAGGUAAACAGAAAUAUUCAUUUUCUUGGCCUCCCUCUGUUCAGGUUGCUCAUAUUAGCACAGUUGUGCAUGUAUCACUGUACAAAAACGUUUAGGACAUUUCCUGUAAUUUCAUACUCGGGGCUAGUUUUGAGAAACUAACUUGUUUUAACAGUUAUUUCUUCUUUGUGAACCAUGAAGUAAGAAGUUAUUGGUCUAACGGCAGAAACUGAUGAAGAUGUGCAUGUCUGGCUAGUCCAACCAGGAUUAUCUGUGGUGAAACAGAGGACAAAGGAUGCCAGAUUUGGAGUCACCAUCAUGUUUCCUGCAUUCUUGUUGCUGGGUGACCAUGUGCUCAUUUUGGAAGUGCCUUUUGUACUCUUCAGGGACCCAGGUCCAUGAGUCAUUAAGCAAUGUUGUUGAUUGACUGCCUGUCCUUCUUUCUCCUGUGAGUUGUCUAUCUUUAGUUUUAGGCUGUCCUUUGUUUUCCCAGUCUGUGUGUUUCAAGAAUCUGACUGUGAUCUCAAUGACCUGCUGGUGCUGUCAAGUCAAGCCAUUCUUUUGUCCCUUCUGAUCUUGUCAUUUCUUCUGGUGCUUUCAUACAUGUUUCUGAGUGUAAUUUGUUCAUUUCAACCUGAAUGUUUCUAUUACAAAUCUCUGCAUUAUGAAGUACAUCAGGUCACACAAAUGAGCUAAACGAGGGAAGUACAGUGUCUCAAACAGGUGAUGAGCUAUAGAGAGGAUCCUGGGCUAAGUACUGUAGCUGUCACACUGAAAUUACAUUUGGAGGCAGUUUUGUGCUGGUCAUUCUGACAGAAUAGCGUUAAUUACCAAUGAAAGUCCACCAGUGUAAACUAGCUCACUCACUUGUUAAGGCAUGAGGGGUACUUGGGUUUUUUGGUGACUUUUUGGUCACCAAACUCAAUGCUAUGAACACUUUUGGAAGGAGGACAGUGAGAUGAACCCUCUGGAAUGACUAUAUCAGUGCUCUUUUGUAUACUAUUGCUCCACUGAGCGUUACCUAAUAAUAACAACAGUGCUAAUACAGGCUUUUGUAAGAGGAGUACCUGAAUUUAGGUACUGGUAACUUUGAGAGGGUCUACACUGUUCUUUCAUGUAUGGAUCUGGUUUUGGUUGAAUAAUGGCCUAUGGUUCCUGGAAGCUCAUUAAAUGUCAUCCAUCUUUUAGGUAGUUAAAAGAUUGAGACAACUAGGGGUUAAGCAUGUUUAUAUGAGGGUUUGAGAGAGAAUACUGAAUAGUAGAAUAAUACUGAACCAGAAUAAAUGUUUUAUGGAGGAUGUUGCAGGUGAGUAUAAGAUGAUGCUCCUACCUGUCUAAUAACCAAAGGUUAACUGCUGUAUUUAAUGUUUCCAAAAUUUUAACCCUGUAGUGCAUGAUGGUGAGUGAUGUAUUAGGACUUUUCCUUUGAGGGAAACAAAACAAAACAAAAAAAACCCCACCACCACGCUAAAGAAAAAAAAAAAUGCAUAAAUUUAACAGCAUCUCAGUUAAAAUGAAAUGUAAAGUUUAUUUUUUUGUUAUAGAGAUGGAGCCAAUGACAGCAAAAGUUAAAAGAUAACAGACAGAAGAUCCAUGAAUAGGUUUAGCAGACUCCUGAUAUCACCAGAAGCUCCUACAGAAGGAAAGCGUUCCAGCCUGGAACUAAGAUAACUAUCGAUAACAAUUGUUUGUUAUUGCCAUCUCCCACUUGCACCCUGUUGCUAUUGUUAACUGUAUCUUGCUUACCUUUGCUUUGGAUGGUUCUGUUUGUAGUCUUACAUACAUAUGUUAAAACAGAAAGAUACCAUGCUUA
Molecule: long non-coding RNA, 3620 nt
Organism: Aquila chrysaetos chrysaetos
Lineage: Eukaryota; Metazoa; Chordata; Aves; Accipitriformes; Accipitridae
Exons: 6
Source: RefSeq, a predicted model, not a curated record